AGGACUUUCGCGGGAGACGGCGCCGUCUGAAACCAAAACUGCUCCUGGGGAAACCUUCCUUGACCUCUGUAGCUAGGGCGUGAGUAUUGGAAGAGCGAGGGCCUCCGGUUUGUUGGUCCCCCUCCCCCCGCACACGGGAAUGGAAGGAGCUGGUAUGUCACGUGACCAAGCCUGUCACGUCACGUGACGAGGAACUAGCCUUAGCGAGGCCAUGGGGGAAAAAGUCUAACUGGCGGAACUCCUGGGAACUGGGGCGAUGGGCUCUUAGUAUCGGAGGAUUGGAGCCAUCUGAUUUUUACCUGAAAUUCCUUAGUCUCUCCUGUGUUGGGGAAAUGGUAAGUAAGACAGAUUUUCACCAACAGAGAGCGUUUCUAUCUCUUCUCUACUCCUCCCUUUUAAAAUUGAGAUUCUGACAGUGUAAAGGAGUUAGGACCCCCUUUUGGGGAUCGGGCAUGGUUUUGUGGCUUUAAAAUGCUUUAAAAUUGCUGAAGUUUCUUGGUAUUGGAACUGUUUCUCCUAAGUAACAUUUUAUCAUCGCACGUGAAAUACUGUAACUCUCGGUGCCAAAUCCAGGAAAAAUGGGCGGUUAGGAGAAGUCCAGGGAAAGCCGACUGAGCAGGUUGUGAAGGUAAGCAGUCCUGUUAAAUGUACACAAAAAUGUCACUUUGCUUCUCUAAACUAGGAAAACUGAUAGGACUUUUGAAUAAGGUAGGAUAUAAGAUUUAAAAAUAUAAAUAGGUCAUCCCCUCCAAAAAAGCCGUUUGUAUGUUUAACUGGUGAGUGACAGAUCUGUAAUAAUUAUUUAGAAAUAGGAAUGUCGAGGCGGGCGGAUCACCUGAGGUCGGGAGUUCGAGACCAGCCAGGUCAACAUGGCGAAACCCUGUCUCUACUAAAAAUUACAAAAAUUAGCUGGAUGUGGUGGCAUGAGCUUGUGAUCCCAGCCACUCGGGAUGGUGAGGCGGGAUAAUCCCUUGAACCCGGGAGGCGAAGGUUGCAGUGAGCUGAGAUGGCGCCACUGCAUUCCCGCCUGGGCGAUAGAGACUACUUCUAAAAAAAAAAAAAAAAAGAAAAGAAAAGAAGUAGGGAUGUUUGAAGAACACAGUUUUGCAGUGAGCAAGUUGUACCCACUCUAGUGAGGACAGUGACCUCAGAAUAAUUGAGAGGGAUCAUUUGACCUUGAGACCCCAGGACCUAACAAAUAAACACUAUCAUUGGCUAGAAUAA
Molecule: long non-coding RNA, 1224 nt
Organism: Homo sapiens (human)
Lineage: Eukaryota; Metazoa; Chordata; Mammalia; Primates; Hominidae
Gene: MIR497HG
Product: mir-497-195 cluster host gene
Source: Ensembl